GUUAUAUUGUGGGUGGGAUUUAUGACGGGUUUUUGGGCAUGUUUGGAACUUAGAUGCUUAAGCAGAAUUUUAGUUUUUAGAUUAGUUUA
Long non-coding RNA from Amblyraja radiata (thorny skate), 89 nucleotides. RefSeq lists it as uncharacterized. The record is from RefSeq and is a predicted model, not a curated record. The transcript is spliced from 4 exons. Lineage: Eukaryota; Metazoa; Chordata; Chondrichthyes; Rajiformes; Rajidae.